CACAGGUUAAUACACUCUACUGAUCCCUGAUGGGAGAAUCAUCACCUCUGCCAACAAAGAAGCCUGGUGGAUGUUUGUUUGCAGUCUGAUGAUGGGACAUCAUGCUCUGCAUCUUCAAAUCUUUUUGCAGGAUCAGAAAACAAAACCAGGAGGCCUGUAAAUGUUUCUUCUCCAAUUGGAUGAUGAUAAGACUGUGACACGGGAUGCCACCUUUAGUCUUGUGAUGAAGCAAAGCUCAGGAAGAAGUGUGAUUAAAUGGUACCCACAUGUGUGCUGCUGAGAAGGAUGUACAGGGGCACCUGCAGCCAAAUCCAAGCCUCCUCAGAUGGUGAUGGUGUGGAGAGGCGGUGGUGUUUCCUCAGAAGAACUAGCAGAGUCACAAAGGACACGAGUCCUUCUCACCACCUUGACUUGCUGACUGAUGCUCGUCUGCACUGCACAGAGGAAAUCAACUGACCGAGGUAAAUCUCCAGUUUCUGAGUGAGGGAGAGAGGAGUCAUCAUCCAGGUAAAGUGACGUGGAUCAGUGGAUACACUUGUCUCCCCUUUAGAGGAGAUACUCUUAGAGAGAGACGAUCUGAGUCAUCCUUAAAUAUGGGCAGGAUAUCACUAUUAGACUGUCUAACCUGCCGGAGCAGCACUGAAUGAUCACCACACAUGAGCAUGUUCCUGCAACAUUCAGCAGCUUUGCUUUUGUGUCAAAUGUCAACCAGCUGGAGAGGAAACUACACCAGUGUACUGGGAUGUUUCACCAGACGCUGUUCCUUCAUGGUGACAUCACCAGAGACGGCCCCGCCCACCUCAGCUCUUGUUUAACACUAAUAAUUAACCAUAUGAACAAAAUAAAGUUCAACAUCAGUAACAUAGCACCCACACAGCUGUAUAGAAACUCAGUCAUGCUAGCUAGCACGCAGUACGAAAAAGUCAGCAUAACGAAAAUAAACUCCACCUAAACUUGGUUUAUAUCUGACCCAGAUAGACUGCAGGUCAUAACUUCUUACCUGAAGUUCAGUUCACCUGACACGCGGACCGGCGGCCGCUUCGGGUCUCUCCUCCUGCCUCCCCUUUCUCUCAUCCACCUGCUGGCCUCCACCACUUGCUAAUGUUACUGAAUCUGUGGAAGCUCCGCGAUAUCCACC
Long non-coding RNA from Oreochromis aureus, 1138 nucleotides. NCBI's taxonomy places the organism in Eukaryota, Metazoa, Chordata, Actinopteri, Cichliformes, Cichlidae. The record is from Ensembl.